AUUUCAUGAGAGAUACGUAAGUUUCAUUGACUGCUGCAAAUCACUAAAACUCUUUGUGAAGAAAUAGCAGAAGCAUUAGGAUUGCCAUUGAAAAACAGAAAGCAAAGCAAAUAUGUCAGGCUGGGUGGGGUUUCUCCCAAGCGAGCAAGGGUGUUGGCGCUUCCAUUUCCCUCCCUGUUAACAUUGCAUACUAACAACAAUCAUGGGGGCAUCAAGCUCCACUUCAAGGUUCCUAAUGUUGAGGGAGUAGGCAAUGUUUAAACCUAUCCCGGAGUGCUCAUAAUUCAGCUUCAACACUAAUUGCAAGUGGGAUGUGUCUGAAGCAAUCAACCACCCAUACCCGGGUUACCUGUGGAUCAUCCAUCAAAGUAUAGUUUAAACCAGGUUGCUUCCAGUUAAUACAAUUAACAUUAAAGGCGAUGGCAAAAAACUCAACAUCUUUUGCAGUGGCUCUUUGAAUGAUUUCAUUUCCAGUUUACUUGUUGAAGACAAGAGAAUCUCGUGCAAGUCAGGUUUGUCGCAAGAAGUAAAGGAAGACGAGAAAGGUUGGGACUUUGUGAUUUUAAAACCAGCUUUUUUUUCCUUUUUUUUUUUGUGUUAACAUAACAUUUAGUUUCAGCCAGUCCAACCAAUAAAGGUUUUGAGGGGGCUGUGGUAUCUUAUGCUUUUAUUUAUUCAAUAUACUGCUUGUAGGGCUCAAUUUUAACCCGGGGCCCAAUAAACAACAGUCCAAAAUACAAAGCUCAUUUACAGCCAAUUAAAACUCAAAUACUAAUCCUCAAACCCAAUCAAGUUCAAAUAAACCUAAAACAUUAGACCCAAAAUUGUAUCGGCCCAAAUGGCCCAGAGAUCAAAUGAUUCUCAGGAACCCUAGGGUUCCAGUGCGCCGUAGCCAAGAUUAGCCUCCAGGCGCCGCACGUCGCGGGCCUCUCCGCGUCGUGCGCCGCUCCACCACGCCACGUCAGUGGUAUGCCCGCACACGUACUUGUAAGCAAACGCAAAAGGAGGGACAGCACAGCAAAGAAGUUUUUUUUGUUCCAUUUUUUUCAGCUAUAAGACCGAAUAGAAUCGAAUGUAAAAAUGGAGUUUUUUUUUUUAAUACAAUAGCAAAAGAUACACACAAAAAUCGAUGGCAAUCAAAUACAAAAAAUCAAAUACGUUUGAAGGUAGUUCGCUCCUUUUUUUCCUUUUCUUUUAUUUCGUUUGAAUCAGUCAUACAAAUAGGCAAAAGAGGAAGGUGUUUACCUAUCAUUUGGUGUUGAUCUAAUCGGUGUUUGGCUCCUCCGACCCAAAGGCAGACGGAUCCCUAGGGACCGUUUGAAGCUAUGGCGGAGAUGGCAACAUAUUUCAGCACCGUCAAGGUCCGCUUGGGAGGAUUUUAAAAAACGAUUUAUGGUUUUGUUUUAAAAAUGGCCGAAUGUUCUGGUAUCUAAGGAGGAAUGGGAGAGUUUUGAAGCUUCAAAAGUUUUUUUACACUAAGGGUUAAAAUGAUUUUAAAACAAAAAAUUUUGCUUUAAAUAGCAAAGGGAAAACAGCAUCGUUUUGUGCCUGUGGUCUAAACAUCUAAACGACGUCGUUUAAGGCCCUGAAUCCACGCGUUGACCCGACCCGGGGAGGAUCCGUGUGUUUGCCAUUAAUGGGAAAUUUCGCAUAUAGUCCCUCUCUUUCGUGCCGAUUUUCAAUGGAGCCCUAUUCAUAUUUUCUUUAUCUUUUUAAAUUAUACAUGGAGUUUGCGCAUAAAUUCAGUUUGAUCUGCGCCUAAACGUUGCGUUUUGAAACUUGAAAUAUUUACAUUUUUAAUCCUCAAAUGUUUGUGCUC
RNAcentral lists this long non-coding RNA (1819 nucleotides) under Gossypium barbadense (sea-island cotton). RNAcentral's name for it is "long non-coding RNA (GBAR_LNC006079)". Lineage: Eukaryota; Viridiplantae; Streptophyta; Magnoliopsida; Malvales; Malvaceae. The record is from RNAcentral.